This 441-nucleotide ribosomal RNA is filed under the name uncultured bacterium. Its description in RNAcentral is "partial 16S ribosomal RNA". It matches the Rfam family "Bacterial small subunit ribosomal RNA", at positions 338 to 795 of the family's 1533-position model. The record is from RNAcentral.
CCUACGGGAGGCAGCAGUGGGGAAUAUUGCACAAUGGGGGAAACCCUGCUGCAGCAACGCCGCGUGAGUGAGGAAGUAUUUCGGUAUGUAAAGCUCUAUCAGCAGGGAAUAGAAAAGAAGGUACCUGAAAAAGAAGCCCCGGCUAACUACAGGCCAGCAGCCUCGGUAAUACGUCGGGGGCAAGCGUUAUCCGGCUUUAAUGGGUGUCAAGGGAGCGUAGACGGAAAGGCAAGUCAGAAGUGCACACCCAAGGUUCAACCAUGGGACUGCUUUUGAAACUGUCAAACUAGAGUACGGGAGGGGUAAGAGGAAUUCCGAGUGUAGCGGUGAAAUGCGUAGAGAUUAGGAGGAACACCAGUGGCGAAGGCGUCUUACUGGACCGAAACUGACGUUGAGGCUCGAAAGCGUGGGGAGCAAACAGGAUUAGAUACCCUUGUAGUC